AGUGAACGCUGGCGGUAGGCCUAACACAUGCAAGUCGAACGGCAGCACAGUAAGAGCUUGCUCUUACGGGUGGCGAGUGGAGGACGGGUGAGGAAUACAUCGGAAUCUACUUUUUCGUGGGGGAUAACGUAGGGAAACUUACGCUAAUACCGCAUACGACCUACGGGUGAAAGCAGGGGAUCUUCGGACCUUGCGCGACUGAAUGAGCCGAUGUCGGAUUAGCUAGUUGGCGGGGUAAAGGCCCACCAAGGCGACGAUCCGUAGCUGGUCUGUGAGGAUGAUCAGCCACACUGGAACUGAGACACGGUCCAGACUCCUACGGGAGGCAGCAGUGGGGAAUAUUGGACAAUGGGCGCAAGCCUGAUCCAGCCAUACCGCGUGGGUGAAGAAGGCCUUCGGGUUGUAAAGCCCUUUUGUUGGGAAAGAAAAGCAGCAGGUUAAUACCCCGCUGUUCUGACGGUACCCAAAGAAUAAGCACCGGCUAACUUCGUG
Molecule: ribosomal RNA, 492 nt
Filed under: uncultured bacterium
Lineage: Bacteria
Description: partial 16S ribosomal RNA
Rfam family: Bacterial small subunit ribosomal RNA
Source: RNAcentral